Molecule: long non-coding RNA, 481 nt
Organism: Gossypium arboreum
Lineage: Eukaryota; Viridiplantae; Streptophyta; Magnoliopsida; Malvales; Malvaceae
Exons: 3
Source: RefSeq, a predicted model, not a curated record
AUGAAAUAUGAAGUUUUAUUAAAAGAAAAGGGGUGAAAAGAACAAAGUUUUGUCCAUCUUUGUUCAUCAUAGCUGAAAGUUAGAGAAGAGAAAGGAGAGGAGAAAACUCUUGAGUAUUUUGUCAUUAGGAGGAGGAAAAUUGAAGGCGGUUCGUGUGUGGAUCUCGUCAGCAUAUCGUCGCAAACAGGUAAUCCCCAACCAUAGUGGGCUUGGAGCUGUGAGGGAAUUCGGAGUGGCCACCUGUUCUGAAAGUUUGAUUUUCUUCUGGUGAACUGGACAUCCUUUUAUUUACGUCUGAAGUUUUGGGUUUUUAAAUGUAAUAAGGCCACUUAUUUAUUUUUGAUGGUUUUUUUUUAUAUGUAUUACUAAGAUAGGUAAUACUUAUUUUAACUGUUGAAAUUGAAUAGCUUUAGGGCGCGUUUUCAAAAACAACAGUUGAUUUCAAAAUAACACGACAACAAGCAAAGCUUCCACAAUGAAA